Molecule: transfer RNA, 76 nt
Filed under: Thermotogaceae bacterium
Lineage: Bacteria; Thermotogati; Thermotogota; Thermotogae; Thermotogales; Thermotogaceae
Also listed under: 2 other names
Description: tRNA-Gly
Rfam family: tRNA
About the family: Transfer RNA (tRNA) molecules are approximately 80 nucleotides in length. Their secondary structure includes four short double-helical elements and three loops (D, anti-codon, and T loops).
Source: RNAcentral
GCGGGUGUAGCUCAAUUGGUAGAGCACCGGCCUUCCAAGCCGGGGGUUGCGGGUUCGAGUCCCGUCGCCCGCUCCA